GCUAGAACACGUAGCUAACCUACCCUUGGGACGGGUAAACCCCGGGAAACUGAGGUUAAUACCCGAUAGGUGUGAAUUCAUGAAAUGGCUCCACGCCCAAAUGUAAACGCAUCCACGUUUGCGUACACGCCCAAGGAUGGGGCUGCGGCCGAUCAGGCAGUUGGUGAGGUAACGGCUCACCAAACCUUUGACCGGUACGGGCCAUGAGAGUGGUAGCCCGGAGAUGGGCACUGAGACAAGGGCCCAGGCCCUACGGGGCGCAGCAGGCGCGAAACCUCACAAUUCACGAAAGUGAGAUGGGGUUACCUCGAGUGCCGCCUGAUGAAGGCGGCUUUUCUAUUGUGUAAUGAGCCGUGGGAAUAAGAGGGGGGCAAGACUGGUGUCAGCCGCCGCGGUAACACCAGCCCCUCGAGUGGUGGGGAUGAUUAUUUGGCCUAAAGCGUCCGUAGCUGGCCCUGUAAAUCUCUCGUUAAAUCCAACGUCCUAAGCGUUGGGCUGCGAGGGAAACUGCAGAGCUAGAGGGUGGGAGAGGUCAGCGGUAUUCCUGGGGUAGGGGCGAAAUCCAUUGAUCCCAGGAGGACCACCAGUGGCGAAGGCUGCUGACUUGAACACGCCUGACAGUGAGGGACGAAAGCUGGGGUAGCGAAUCGGAUUAGAUACCCGAGUAGUCCCAGCCGU
Molecule: ribosomal RNA, 678 nt
Filed under: uncultured archaeon
Lineage: Archaea
Description: bacterial SSU rRNA
Rfam family: Archaeal small subunit ribosomal RNA
Source: RNAcentral